UGUGUCUUAGUAUAUGAUGUAUGGAAGUUUUUGAUACUUAGGGAGGUGGUUUGAUUCUGCCAGGCACAG
RNAcentral lists this transfer RNA (69 nucleotides) under Dorysthenes granulosus. RNAcentral describes it as "tRNA-Gln". The record is from RNAcentral. Lineage: Eukaryota; Metazoa; Arthropoda; Insecta; Coleoptera; Cerambycidae.